This 347-nucleotide ribosomal RNA is filed under the name uncultured bacterium. RNAcentral describes it as "partial 16S ribosomal RNA". It matches the Rfam family "Bacterial small subunit ribosomal RNA", at positions 338 to 682 of the family's 1533-position model. The record is from RNAcentral.
CCUACGGGGGGCAGCAGUGAGGAAUAUUGGUCAAUGGACGGAAGUCUGAACCAGCCAUGCCGCGUGCAGGAAGACGGCUCUAUGAGUUGUAAACUGCGUUUGUACAAGGGAAAACCGGAAUACGUGUAUGCAGCUGAAAGGACGGUACGAAUAAGGAUAGGCUAACUCCGUGCCAGCAGCCGCGGUAAUACGGAGGAUCCAAGCGUUAUCCGGAUUUAUUGGGUCUAACGGGUGCGUAGGCGGAUUGAUAAGUUAGUGGUGAAAUGUCCGCGCUUACCUCGGGAACUGCCUCUAAUACUGUUGAUCUAGAGCGUAGGUGCGGUCGGCGGAAUGUCUUGUGUAGCGGU